Molecule: ribosomal RNA, 253 nt
Filed under: uncultured bacterium
Lineage: Bacteria
Description: partial 16S ribosomal RNA
Rfam family: Bacterial small subunit ribosomal RNA
Source: RNAcentral
UACGUAGGUGGCAAGCGUUGUCCGGAUUUAUUGGGUUUAAAGGGUGCGUAGGCGGUUCCAUAAGUCAGGGGUGAAAUACAAUAGCUUAACUAUUGAGGUGCCAUUGAUACUGCGGAACUUGAGUACAGACGAGGUAGGCGGAAUUGACGGUGUAGCGGUGAAAUGCUUAGAUAUCGUCAAGAACACCGAUAGCGAAGGCAGCUUACUAGACUGUAACUGACGCUGAGGCACGAAAGUGUGGGGAUCAAACAGG